Molecule: long non-coding RNA, 1095 nt
Organism: Cyprinus carpio carpio
Lineage: Eukaryota; Metazoa; Chordata; Actinopteri; Cypriniformes; Cyprinidae
Source: Ensembl
ACAAAACUACAUACAGUGGCUUUAAUAUUGAUCAAACUAAGAUGAGACCACCUUUCAAUAUCUUUCAAUAUGCAUUUAUCUCAAGCUAACCAUAAGAAAAGACUUUUUCAGGAGACUAAAAAAUCUCUCUAGGCUGGUUCUUUUAUGAAACAUCCUUGAAAGUCUGAUGAAAAUGAAAGAGGUGAUGGACCUGCUUUGCUUUAUUAUACUUCCUCAAUAUCCCUUCUUCCCUAUUUCUCUGAGACAUGGCUGUGAUGACCCUUCUCUUUGACUCCAAACUGAGACCUGGAUCUCUUCUUUAGAUCAACUGUUGUAGUUGCUGUUUCAUAUUAAAGGGUAAACGUUUGCAACAAAAAGCAAAAAAUCAAUGCGCCGCAUAGUUCAUUUUUGCAUGCAAUGCCUAUUUGUUGGCUUUGAAAGGACAGUUUUCUGGAAAUGAAUCCUUCAAUAAAAGUCACUGUUUUGCUUUCAGAAAACGUUCAGUUAGAUCCUUGCUUGCUUCUGAUUUGCUUUGAAAACUUUUGAGUUAUGAGUGGCCUCCGGCAUGAAAAAUAUUACAUGAGGUAAUUUGAUUUUGAGGGACUUUGCUUUCUGUUGUCUUUCUGUAGGAGAAUAUUCUUGUUCUAUGUACGCUGUUAACACUGAAUGUUUCCCUCCCUACAGUUGGGUUUUUCACCGUAUAAACUCUGUGAUUACAAAAAGUUGGGCAAAAAAGAAACACUCACAUGCAUAUAUUAAAAUCAGUAAAUAUCUAAAUAUAUAAUAUGUACAAGAAUUUUUUAAGAAUGUAUUUUGAUUAUGGCUAUUGAUUUGGUUUUGUCCCUCUGAGUUGCUUGUAAUAUUACGUGAAUAUGAUGUUUAAUUAGUUUGGGGGAACCUGAAGCAUUAUUCUGAAUGCAUGAUGUUACCGUCCUGUUUUCUCUUAUCCUGCACUGUGUUUGUUUAACUGUUGUGAUCGCGUCCUUCCUCUGUGACUGGACAGAGAAGAAGCUUACGGGGUUUUCUUUUCUCUUUUUGUGUUUGUUCUUUGCUGCUGCUAAGAGAAACUGUUCCAAUCAAUUUCCGCUGUGAAUCUUCUAUUGUGGAAUUUCGAAC